Molecule: unclassified non-coding RNA, 345 nt
Filed under: soil metagenome
Description: partial contains 5.8S ribosomal RNA, internal transcribed spacer 2, and large subunit ribosomal RNA
Rfam family: 5.8S ribosomal RNA (bases 1-120)
Source: RNAcentral
GAUGAAGAACGUAGCGAAAUGCGAUAAGUAAUGUGAAUUGCAGAAUUCAGUGAAUCAUCGAAUCUUUGAACGCACAUUGCGCCCGCCAGCAUUCUGGCGGGCAUGCCUGUUCGAGCAUCAUUUCAACCCUCGACUUCCCUUUGGGGAAAUCGGCGUUGGGGACUGGCAGCAUACCGCCGGCCCCGAAAUGGAGUGGCGGCCCGUCCGCGGCAACCUCUGCGUAGUAAUCCAACCUCGCACCGGAACCCCGACGUGGCCACGCCGUAAAACACCCCACUUUCUGAACGUUGACCUCGGAUCAGGUAGGAAUACCCGCUGAACUUAAGCAUAUCAAUAAGCGGAGGA